RNAcentral lists this ribosomal RNA (255 nucleotides) under Vibrio fluvialis. RNAcentral describes it as "partial 16S ribosomal RNA". It matches the Rfam family "Bacterial small subunit ribosomal RNA", at positions 1285 to 1533 of the family's 1533-position model. The record is from RNAcentral. Lineage: Bacteria; Pseudomonadati; Pseudomonadota; Gammaproteobacteria; Vibrionales; Vibrionaceae.
GUCGUAGUCCGGAUUGGAGUCUGCAACUCGACUCCAUGAAGUCGGAAUCGCUAGUAAUCGUGAAUCAGAAUGUCACGGUGAAUACGUUCCCGGGCCUUGUACACACCGCCCGUCACACCAUGGGAGUGGGCUGCAAAAGAAGCAGGUAGUUUAACCUUCGGGAGGACGCUUGCCACUUUGUGGUUCAUGACUGGGGUGAAGUCGUAACAAGGUAGCGCUAGGGGAACCUGGCGCUGGAUCACCUCCUUAUACGAA